Molecule: ribosomal RNA, 253 nt
Filed under: uncultured prokaryote
Description: partial 16S ribosomal RNA
Rfam family: Bacterial small subunit ribosomal RNA
Source: RNAcentral
UACAGAGGUCCCAAGCGUUGUUCGGAUUCACUGGGCGUAAAGGGUGCGUAGGCGGUCGGGUAAGUCUGAUGUGAAAGCUCGAAGCUUAACUUCGAAAUGGCAUUGGAUACUAUUCGGCUUGAGGAAUGGAGGGGAGACUGGAAUGCUCGGUGUAGCAGUGAAAUGCGUAGAUAUCAGGAGGAAUACCGAUGGCGAAGGCAGGUCUCUGGGCUGACACUGACGCUCAUGCACGAAAGCGUGGGGAGCAAACAGG